UGUACAUGUCAUUGCCGUUCCACUCAGAGAAAAUCUCUUCUUCUUCACCAUUUCUCUGAAAAGUAUUUGAAUUUGCGUCUCGUCGAUCCCAAACCAUUGUCUCAUUCUCGCUGUAAUUGGAUUUCUGUUAAACGGAGAGUUAUCACGGCCGUUGCACGAGCUGAAUCAAAUCAAAUUGGUGAUGAUGGCAACUCAAAGGAGGAACACGGCAGAGAUCAAGAAUUGCAAAAUGUUGAAGAAGAUUCGAGUUUCGAUUCUCAGGAGCAGAAGUCUAGAAGCCAGUUUAAGAAAAGAGUAGUUUGAGGUGAGUCUUGUUCCGCUUAACAGUGAGGGGUCAUGAGAUUGAUAUGGAAUCGAAACUGAAGUUUCAAGGUGGAUGUGAUAUAUGGAUGGUGAGAUGUGUUUGCAGUGCUAGAGAUGAUGAUGGUGAGAGAAUGAUAGCAUGUGAUGUAUGUGAGAUAUGGCAGCACACAAGAUGUUGUGGGAUUGAUGAUACAGAUACUUUGCCUCCACUUUUUGUUUGUUCUAAUUGUUGUGAAGAAUUUGCAGAGCAACAGAAGAAAGUGUUGCAGCCAAAGUAUGAGUUUCCAAGUGCAGAGAAUGUGUUUCUGAUUGAAUCAGGUGAUGAUUACUUUGGAGGAGAUGAGAGAUCUCUUGGUAUGAUUUUUCCUGAAGAAAACUUUCUCUUACAAAACCCCUUUUUGGAUCAAACAUUGUGGAUAAAUCAAUUCUUUUGUAAAUGAAACAUGAUUGUAUA
This is a long non-coding RNA of Arabidopsis lyrata subsp. lyrata, 757 nucleotides long. RefSeq lists it as uncharacterized. The record is from RefSeq and is a predicted model, not a curated record. Lineage: Eukaryota; Viridiplantae; Streptophyta; Magnoliopsida; Brassicales; Brassicaceae. The transcript has 2 exons.